GGUAUCCACUGUAGGCCUAUAUG
This 23-nucleotide microRNA is filed under the name Drosophila ananassae. RNAcentral describes it as "Dan-Mir-124_5p* (star (passenger))". The record is from RNAcentral. RNAcentral also lists the same sequence under 5 other names. Lineage: Eukaryota; Metazoa; Arthropoda; Insecta; Diptera; Drosophilidae.